Dunckerocampus dactyliophorus (ringed pipefish) is the source of this 1287-nucleotide long non-coding RNA. RefSeq lists it as uncharacterized. The record is from RefSeq and is a predicted model, not a curated record. The transcript is spliced from 3 exons. Lineage: Eukaryota; Metazoa; Chordata; Actinopteri; Syngnathiformes; Syngnathidae.
UUUGGCGGCACAAAAAUGACACAAAACAUUACAUUACCAUAACGCUGCAUGAAGUCAUGAAGUAAGCCAUGGCAUGUCUAACAUGAUAGGGUGAAAAAAAGUUCUCCUCCCAUCCUGUGUGGAAGUGGUAAGUUUUUGGCUUCUUAAGUUUACAAGAAAUAAAAUUGAGGCUAACUGGUUAGCUCACUAGCUUGCUGGCUAGCUGCCAUGUCAGGUCCCUGCAGCAUAAGAGUUGCAAUGUGAUGCAAACAAUGAAUAAUAGGAGUGUAAAGAUGACUAUAUGGGUGUUAUUUCAUGUCUACAGGGCUCUAAUAAUGUUAAAAAAACACGUAUUUAGAAAGUCCAAGAUUUCAUUUAUUUACACUGAAUCCUAUAUAGUGGAAAUUCAUAUAACGCGGUCAGGUCUGGAGCUAAUUAGCCGCUAUGAACGAGGGAAGACUGUAUGUUCCAUCGCACAGUGUGUACUAAGUAAAGGCUGGAAGUAGUUUGUAAAUGCAGACCAUUUAGAAGAUAGUCGCUGAAGGUAUGGGUAACAAUUAGGGGUGCUCCGAUAUAUCGGCCACCGAUCUGUUUCGGCCGAUUUUCAUAAAAAAACGUGUGAUCAGCAUAUGCUGAUUUAAUGCCUUUGAUUAAGGCCUUUGAUUAGCCUGUGGCUAGCACUAUUGCAGGCUGCAGCCACCCUUUUGUGCAGUGUAAAGUCUCGCCCUAACUAACAUCUUGGGCAGUGUCAUCUUCUGAAGGUCCAUCAAAACUAAAACAAUCAUAUCUGCCAUGUGGAACCUAACUGCUCACACAUGCCACGGAAACUACCUCACCGGGGUAAAAAGCUCUUGUAUGGCUGUACAAAAGACUGUCUUUAGUAGUGUCUUUCUCUUUGUCCCCUUCAAAUUAACGCUUAUGUAAACGUAGCUCAACAUUACUACGCUAAAUGGGCACCUGAAUGUAUCACGGCAGCCGCUUAGCUUUGGGAGUGGUUGUCUUCACACGGACCUUGUUUGACGUUUAAGCAACAGUGUGCGCCUAUAAAUAAAACCACACACACACACACACAACACAUUCACAUACACCUACCUGCGGUAGACACAAAUCUGGCUAUGGAUACCGCCUUUGGACUGCACUCACCUGUACAGGAUUGUUGUCUUGACCCGACACCUUGGAGUGAUUGCUGACCAGUAUUACACCCAAUUAAAGCCCUCACUACAACGGCACUUGAAGAACAACACUUGAUGGAGUAUGUCAGACGGCUAAGCUAAUAACCUGAAAAAUGAUUGAAUUCGUCGAACGAGA